CAGGCAUUCAUUUCCAAUGUUUCAGGAGAAAGACUUGAUCACAAUGACAGCUGGGAUGAAUGUGGUCAUGGUUUAAGCUAUAGACAGCCUUGCAGACAAUCACCCUGGUCGCAAAAACGGAGCCAGGAAAUUCUCUGUGGAGCGACGAGGAGAUAAAAGCCCUCUUUACCAUUGUGGGAUUUAUCGCAGCGCAAAACAAUGUAAGGAGAAGAUGAAGAAACUCAAAAACAGGCCAGAGUGAGUCGAACAGGAAAACGAGCAAAUGGUAUGACACACAAUACUUCAUAUUGGGCCACAGACUGGCGUACUCUGGCAACGCCACAACAAAGGACUCAUCUGCUGAGCUUUUGCAGUUUGUUGGGUGAUACAGAGUGAAAACAACCCACCCUCCUAGCUGCUUGAAGCAACUACACACCAGCUUCCUGCUUGUCCGGCUUUACAAAUUAUCAGCCAACACCACCCAGCUGCCAUCCCAGACCUGCAAAGAGGAGAAAGAAAGACACACUGGUUGCUGCUAUGCAGGAAUUGCUGGCUUCGGACACGGAACAGAAAAGGCAGAGUGAUGCGCGGUUUAACAGAAUGAUAAAGCUAUUCGAAGACCAAACUCAAAAGGAAGCAGAGGAGUGUCAGGCUACGGUCAAGAGUUAGCAGAGGCCAUCCGGCAGCAGAUUUUCAUGGAGGGUCUUCUGGACGUCAUGAACCUUAAUUUGAAAAAAUAUAGAAGUGUAAACUAAAUUUUGCACAUUUAUUCUAGUGUUUGAUAGAUCUUUAAUUAAAAGAAAUUACUUUGAAUAACACAAUGUGGUGUUUUAUGUCGGAUUACUAGUACACUUAACAUGUGGCUAGCAAUACAGUGUGUGAAUAGUUAACACAUGACACCACACUAUUUAUUCGCAGUACGACGAAAAGCAGUACAUAACAUCACAAUUAUCAACAUGGCAAACUGGAAAUGUCUAAAUUAAACUGAAAACAUAACGAAAUUAAAUUGCUUCUGGAUCAUAGAGCCGAGGCAGAGAGUCCAUCGUCCAUCUUUGGAAAUGUUUGGUUUAUUUUGUAGAGA
Molecule: long non-coding RNA, 1060 nt
Organism: Corythoichthys intestinalis (scribbled pipefish)
Lineage: Eukaryota; Metazoa; Chordata; Actinopteri; Syngnathiformes; Syngnathidae
Exons: 4
Source: RefSeq, a predicted model, not a curated record